UAAUUCCUUUAAGUUUUUGUCUGUUGCCGCCCCCGCCCGCCUACGGGAGGCAGCAGUGGGAAUUUUCCGCAAUGGGCGCAAGCCUGACGGAGCAAGACCGCGUGGGGGAGGAAGGCUCUUGGUUGUAAACCCCUUUUCUCUGGGAAGAACAAAAUGACGGUACCAGAGGAAUCAGCAUCGGUAACUCCGUGCCAGCAGCCGCGGUAAGACGGAGGAUGCAAGCGUUAUCCGGAAUGAUUGGGGUAAAGCGUCCGCAGGUGGCAGUUCAAGUCUGCUGUCAAAGACCGGGGCUUAACUUCGGAAGGCAGUGGAAACUGAACAGCUAGAGUAUGGUAGGGGCAAAGGGAAUUCCUGGUGUAGCGGUAAAUGCGUAGAGAUCAGGAAGAACCAUCGGUGGCGAAAGCGCUUUGCUGGACCAUAACUGAACUCAGGGACGAAAGCUAGGGGAGCGAAUGGGAUUAGAUACCCCAGUAGUCCUAGCCGUAACGAUGGAUACUAGGUGUUGUCUGUAUCGAACCCGGACAGUGCCGUAGCUAACGCGCUAAGUAUCCCGCCCCUGGA
Molecule: ribosomal RNA, 561 nt
Filed under: uncultured bacterium
Lineage: Bacteria
Description: bacterial SSU rRNA
Rfam family: Bacterial small subunit ribosomal RNA
Source: RNAcentral